Molecule: ribosomal RNA, 1043 nt
Filed under: uncultured archaeon
Lineage: Archaea
Description: bacterial SSU rRNA
Rfam family: Archaeal small subunit ribosomal RNA
Source: RNAcentral
UCCGUUUGAUCCCGGCAGAGGCCACUGCUAUCGGAGUUCGAUUAAGCCAUGCGAGUCGAGAGGUGUAAGACCUCGGCAUACUGCUCAGUAACACAUGGACAACCUACCCUGAAGAGGGGGAUAACCCCGGGAAACUGGGGAUAAUACCCCAUAGACUAUGGAUGCUGGAAUGCUUUGUAGUCGAAAGGUCCGCCGCUUCAGGAUGGGUCUGCGGCCGAUUAGGUUGUUGUUGGGGUAACGGCCCAACAAGCCUGUAAUCGGUACGGGUUGUGGGAGCAAGAGCCCGGAGAUGGAUUCUGAGACACGAAUCCAGGCCCUACAGGGCGCAGCAGGCGCGAAAACUUUACAAUGCGAGCAAUCGUGAUAAGGGAACUCCGAGUGCCUGUAAAAUCAGGCUGUCCGCCAGUGUAAAUAACUGGUGAAGAAAGGGCCGGGCAAGACCGGUGCCAGCCGCCGCGGUAAUACCGGCGGCUCGAGUGGUGGCCACUAUUACUGGGCUUAAAGCGUUCGUAGCUGGUCUGUUAAGUCUCUGGGGAAAUCUUCCGGCUUAACCGGAAGGCGUCUCAGGGAUACUGGCAGACUAGGGACCGGAAGAGGUGAGAGGUACUCCAGGGGUAGGAGUGAAAUCCUGUAAUCCUUGGGGGACCACCUGUGGCGAAGGCGUCUCACCAGGACGGCUCCGACAGUGAGGAACGAAAGCUGGGGGAGCAAACCGGAUUAGAUACCCGGGUAGUCCCAGCUGUAAACGAUGCGCGUUAGGUGUAUCGGUGACCACGAGUCACCGAGGUGCCGAAGAGAAAUCGUGAAACGCGCCGCCUGGGAAGUACGGUCGCAAGGCUGAAACUCAAAGGAAUUGGCGGGGGAGCACCACAACGGGUGGAGCCUGCGGUUUAAUCGGACUCAACGCCGGGAAACUCACCGGACAAGACAGCUGAAUGAUAGUCGGGCUGAAGACUCUACUUGACUAGCUGAGAGGAGGUGCAUGGCCGUCGUCAGUUCGUACUGUGAAGCAUCCUGUUAAGUCAGGCAACGAGCGAGACCCA